AACGUAGGAGGCGAGCGUUAUCCGGAGUUACUGGGCGUAAAGAGCGUGUAGGCGGGGAUGCAAGUUUGGCGUGAAAUCCCUCAGCUUAACUGAGGAACUGCGUCUGAGACUGGCAAGCUUGAGUGCAGGAGAGGAACGCGGAAUUCCAGGUGUAGCGGUGAAAUGCGUAGAUAUCUGGAGGAACACCGGUGGCGAAGGCGGCGUUCUGGACUGUAACUGACACUGAUGAACGAAAGCCAGGGGAGCAAACGGG
RNAcentral lists this ribosomal RNA (253 nucleotides) under uncultured bacterium. RNAcentral's name for it is "partial 16S ribosomal RNA". It matches the Rfam family "Bacterial small subunit ribosomal RNA", at positions 524 to 776 of the family's 1533-position model. The record is from RNAcentral.